ACAACCAGAACAGCAAAUAAACAGUGGAUGAGUGUGUGUGUGAAGUGAAACAACAUUCAAACAGUGGAUGAGUGUGUGUGUGAAGUGAAACAACAUUCAAACAGUGGAUGAGUGUGUGUGUGAAGUGAAACAACAUUCCUUACACAAGGAAACACAAACUAGUGACAGCUAGAAACAGCUACAUGUCUCAACAACCUGUUCAUCUAUUUGUCCUUUGAACUCCUCCAGGGACACCAGGUCCUGUCGUUUUAGGUUGGCUUGGAUUGCAACACCAGAGGAACCACCUUUUUCCAUGCUUGGUUCUAAUUCGGUACUGUUAGCAUAAAACAAGAUUGAGAUCUGAGUUGUAUGUGUUUCUCAUUUCGAGCUGGAAGAGAGGAUAGAUAAAAGUCAGUUUUCCUGAAAUGGUCUUCAGAAUAAGAAUGUGCCAGUGUUUGUGUUGCCAGUGAUGUCCACCCGACAACACUAGGGAUCACAAUGGUGAGUUGGACGUCUCUGAUUGGUGACAAAACGAAGGGCUGCAUGACACAGAGUCAAGAGCCUUCAGUGUGGAGCGUGAAGCUUGCUCAUAAAUAGUAUCACCAUAGUCCAACACAGAGACAAAAGUGCAACGAAUCAACUCCUUUCUGGCAGCAAAGGAAAAACAAGCUUUGUGUCGGUAGUAAAACCCCAAACGCAGCUUGAGUUUCCUGACAAGGUUCUCGACAUGAGUGGUGAAGAUCACAUUCUCAUCCACCCAAACUCCCAGAUAUUUGGAUGUUUCCAAGGUAUUAAUUACAAGGGUUUCAGUGUUUAUUAUUGGAGGGUUUCCAAGGGUUUCAGUGUUUAUUAUUGGAAAAUUCCGUACAGGUUUUAGAGGAAUUCAGAACAAGCUUCAAAUCGAACAGAUUCUGUUGAAUGAUGUUAAAACAGGUUUGAGCUUUUUCAAAAGCCAAAGUCAAACUGCUGCCACUUGACUAAGGAACAGUGUCAUCCGCAUAAAAACGUACAUCAGCUGCCUCAAUAUUUCUCCCAAUUUAAUUGAACUACAGACAAACAACAGGGGACCUAAAACACAUCCUUGAGGCACAACUCUACGGCACAGAGCGCAGAAGAAGUACAGUGCAUUCGGGAAGUAUUCAGACCCCUUCUCUUUUUCCACAUCUUGUUACAUUACAGCCUUGUUCUAAAAUGGAUUUAAAAAAUAAAAAUCCCCAUCAAUCUACACACAAUACCCCAUACAAUACCCCAUACAAUACCCCAUACAAUACCCCAUACUUGGUCACUGUUAAAACUGUAACUUAAAGCGGGUACAGCCUCAGUGUUCACAGUAAACACGCGCUGGAAGUUGCACAGAACUUUCCCAACUUUCAAGUUUGCCAGCCGCAACUUCCAGUGCGUGUUUAGCUCAAUCAUUGUUCGACACAACCACCCAAAAAGGGCAAGGUACAUGUUAGGCGUUUUAACUUGAAACAAAACUCUACUAAGUCACACCAUUGAUGUCAUUGUCACUAUGCUGUCAUUCAUUGAUUGAGUGUAUGACAUUUGGACGCCGUAGGCCUGUGUCAGCCCAGCCCAAAGGCAGUAAAAACUGGGCAAGGCUCGUGAGUUAUCCUGUGACAGUGGGGGAUCCACCCUGCUGAUACAACAGCUCCUCACAUCACCACUACUGUGUGUGCACCUAGUCCUUCUUCCUUGAAGGUGUGUUUCAGUAGCAAUCAGACACAAACAUGGACGCAGAAAGACAUUGGGUUUACAUGUAUGUAUUUGUUCAUCUUGACUACUUUAUGGAAAUCAGAGACAUACUGUAUGUGCCAGAAAUCAUCUUGCAUAAAAACACCAUCUCUGAUGAAUGAUUAUGCUAGAAUGGUAUCAUACAUUAGAUUUUGCAGUAUUUACUAUGGUGACUGACUUGAUUUGUGGUAGCUGACUGAAUGUAGGUUACAUUUGUUAAUCACUUAUUAAAUACACAUAAUUAUAUCAUAAUGCCAACUUACAUUCUGUAGAAACAGCUUAUCUAUAGUAAAUAGAAACUACGGGGAAGGAAAUAUUCUCCCAAAAUAGAUUUGUCACAAAAUGUGCAUUAUAUACAUAUGCAUAUAAAUCCAUGCUGAGACAUGUGCUUCAGAAACAAUACAACGCAACCCAUUUCAACGUCCUUCAACCCUCACAAAAACCGUACUGUAGAGACUCAGCCAGUCUCUUCUGGUAAAAACAUCUUCCAAUGACCAUCCAUUGGUUCCAAUCCCCCCCCCACUACAUUCCAAAGCUCCAAUUUACAGUUCAGUUCCAAAGUUCUGAUAUGACAUUAAAAUGGUUCCAACAGUCCAGAGAUCCAACUCCCAAAACCUCUGUUUCUCCAGUGCAUUUUCAGAUAUUCUACUUCCCUGGUUGUCUGUUUCCAAUUCUUCAUUCCAAUGAUCUGGUUUCUUCCUGUCCGUCCCCUGAGCUUUCAGCAGUAGAUCCGGGCCUAUAUUCAUAGACCGUCUCAUAAUAGGAGUACUGAUCUAGGGUCACGUCCCCCAUUGUCUAUGCAAUCUUGUUCAUAAUGCUCUAAAAGGACAAACUGACACAAGGCCUGUCUUAGUCCUCCUCCCCUCCAUGGCCGUUCAUGACCUGGCCGGACUCCCAGCGCUGCAGGAGAGGAGUCUUCUGUCUGGGGGUCCGUGGGCUCUGGAGGCCCUGGAAAAAAAGAGAAGGUGAAAAAGAGAGUGAGUAGAAAGAGAGAGAGAGGGAGACAAGUGUGUGUGUGAGAGAGAGAGAGAAAGAGAUAAGAGAUAAAUAUGAGAGAAGCAGACAACGCGAAAGAGAGUAGAAAGUGAAAAGAGAAAAAAAGAGAAGGGGACAUCGAGAAAGAGAAAGAGUAGAGGAGAUUUAUAAUGACAGGGAAUAGAGAGUAGAGGGAGUUAUAAUAGAGAGUAGAGGGAGUUAUAAUAGAGAGUAGAGGGAGUUAUAAUAGAGGGAGUUAUAAUAGAGAGUAGAGGGAGUUAUAAUAGAGAGUAGAGGGAGUUAUAAUAGAGAGUAGAGGGAGUUAUAAUAGAGAGU
This is a long non-coding RNA of Oncorhynchus tshawytscha (Chinook salmon), 3024 nucleotides long. NCBI's taxonomy places the organism in Eukaryota, Metazoa, Chordata, Actinopteri, Salmoniformes, Salmonidae. The record is from Ensembl.